Molecule: long non-coding RNA, 629 nt
Filed under: Androctonus crassicauda
Lineage: Eukaryota; Metazoa; Arthropoda; Arachnida; Scorpiones; Buthidae
Source: RNAcentral
UGAUUUUGCUGCGAGUUUCUGUUUUAGUGUGUAUGUAUUCCUUAAUGUGUGUAUUGUGGUUUUCAUGGUGUUUGUGUGUGUGUGUGUACUGGCAAAACUCACUUUUCAGGACCAAAGUAUGAAUAAACACCUUUUUAGUGGGGACCGACUACAAAGUGGGGACCAGGUUUUGGUCCCGAUUUUUUGACUACAGAAAUGGGUUCUACACGUGUCAAAACGUGUAUAUAUGAAAUAAAAACGAGGUCCUCGAAAGUCACGAAGAUCGAAAAUUUUUACACUCCAUGUGUAAAAAAGUGUGUAUUUUUUUGGUCCCAUAUUGUUUGCAUGGUAUUUUUGUGUAAAAUUCUUACACACCCUCCCUCGUUUUCGAUGCGCAAUACAUUUGAACCGUAUAAUCAGCUGUUGAACUAAUACUUCUGAGGUCAAAACGUUUACACACUUUUCUGUACUCGUGCACAAAAUGCAUAAUUGAAAGUACUAAUUCUGAUUGGCGAAUGGAUAAAAUGGCAGCAAAAUAGCAAUUAAUCGUCAUCAACGAUACUAUAAACUGGAUAAAAGUUGAAUUUUCUCAAAAAUAUCGUUAAUCUUAGGUAAGUCAAUUAAAGAAAUUUGAUAGAUUAAUAUAAUUU